Molecule: ribosomal RNA, 253 nt
Filed under: uncultured bacterium
Lineage: Bacteria
Description: partial 16S ribosomal RNA
Rfam family: Bacterial small subunit ribosomal RNA
Source: RNAcentral
UACGAAGGGGGCUAGCGUUGCUCGGAAUCACUGGGCGUAAAGCGCACGUAGGCGGCUUUCUAAGUCAGGGGUGAAAUCCUGGAGCUCAACUCCAGAACUGCCUUUGAUACUGGGAAGCUCGAGUCCGGAAGAGGUAAGUGGAAUUGCGAGUGUAGAGGUGAAAUUCGUAGAUAUUCGCAGGAACACCAGUGGCGAAGGCGGCUUACUGGUCCAUUACUGACGCUGAGGUGCGAAAGCGUGGGGAGCAAACAGG